UCCCGUGUGACGCAAUUGGUUAGCGUGUCAGACUUUUAAUACUGAUUGAAAUCUGAAAGUUACGGGUUCGAGUCCCGUCAUGGGAG
RNAcentral lists this transfer RNA (86 nucleotides) under Fusarium verticillioides 7600. Its description in RNAcentral is "tRNA-Lys for anticodon CUU". It matches the Rfam family "tRNA". From Rfam's summary of the family: Transfer RNA (tRNA) molecules are approximately 80 nucleotides in length. Their secondary structure includes four short double-helical elements and three loops (D, anti-codon, and T loops). Lineage: Eukaryota; Fungi; Ascomycota; Sordariomycetes; Hypocreales; Nectriaceae. The record is from Rfam by way of RNAcentral.